GGGCGAGGUUGCUUCGGUAACUGAGCUAGCGGCGGACGGGUGAGUAAUGCUUAGGAAUCUGCCUAUUAGUGGGGGACAACAUUCCGAAAGGAAUGCUAAUACCGCAUACGCCCUACGGGGGAAAGCAGGGGAUCCUCGGACCUUGCGCUAAUAGAUGAGCCUAAGUCAGAUUAGCUAGUUGGUGGGGUAAAGGCCUACCAAGGCGACGAUCUGUAGCGGGUCUGAGAGGAUGAUCCGCCACACUGGGGCUGAGACACGGCCCAGACUCCUACGGGAGGCAGCAGUGGGGAAUAUUGGACAAUGGGCGCAAGCCUGAUCCAGCCAUGCCGCGUGUGUGAAGAAGGCCUUUUGGUUGUAAAGCACUUUAAGCGAGGAGGAGGCUACUUGGAUUAAUACUCUAGGAUAGUGGACGUUACUCGCAGAAUAAGCACCGGCUAACUCUGUGCCAGCAGCCGCGGUAAUACAGAGGGUGCGAGCGUUAAUCGGAUUUACUGGGCGUAAAGCGUGCGUAGGCGCCUUCUUAAGUCGGAUGUGAAAUCCCUGAGCUUAACUUAGGAAUUGCAUUCGAUACUGGGAAGCUAGAGUAUGGGAGAGGAUGGUAGAAUUCCAGGUGUAGCGGUGAAAUGCGUAGAGAUCUGGAGGAAUACCGAUGGCGAAGGCAGCCAUCUGGCCUAAUACUGACGCUGAGGUACGAAAGCAUGGGGAGCAAACAGGAUUAGAUACCCUGG
RNAcentral lists this ribosomal RNA (728 nucleotides) under uncultured bacterium. RNAcentral describes it as "bacterial SSU rRNA". It matches the Rfam family "Bacterial small subunit ribosomal RNA", at positions 67 to 790 of the family's 1533-position model. The record is from RNAcentral.